RNAcentral lists this ribosomal RNA (507 nucleotides) under uncultured bacterium. Its description in RNAcentral is "partial 16S ribosomal RNA". It matches the Rfam family "Bacterial small subunit ribosomal RNA", at positions 30 to 523 of the family's 1533-position model. The record is from RNAcentral.
AUUGAACGCUGGCGGCAUGCCUAACACAUGCAAGUCGAACGGCAGCACAGUAUGUAGCAAUACAUAUGGGUGGCGAGUGGCGGACGGGUGCGUAAUAUGUAGGGAUCUGCCCUGAAGCGGGGGACAACCCGGGGAAACCCGGGCUAAUACCGCAUAAUACUCUACGGAGGAAAUCUGGCACGCAAGUGCUGGGGCUUUAGGAUGAACCUACAUCCGAUUAGCUAGUUGGUGAGGUAAUAGCUCACCAAGGCCAUGAUCGGUAGCUGGUCCGAGAGGAUGACCAGCCACACUGGGACUGAGACACGGCCCAGACUCCUACGGAGAGCAGCAGUGGGGAAUAUUGGACAAUGGGGGAGACCGUGAUCCAGCAAAGCGGCGUGGGUGAAGGAGGCCUUCGGGUUGUAAAGCCCUUUAGGCGGGGAAGAAGGUUAUAGGGUGAUAAGCCUUAUAGCUUGACGGUACCCGCAGAAUAAGCACCGGCUAACUCUGUGCCAGCCGCCGCCGUAA